GACGAACGCUGGCGGCGCGCCUAACACAUGCAAGUCGAACGGAACUUGAGAGAGCUUGCUUUUUCAAGUUUAGUGGCGAACGGGUGAGUAACGCGUGAGUAACCUGCCCUGGAGUGGGGGACAACAGUUGGAAACGACUGCUAAUACCGCAUAAGCCCACGGCACCGCAUGGUGCUGAGGGAAAAGGAUUUAUUCGCUUCAGGAUGGACUCGCGUCCAAUUAGCUAGUUGGUGAGGUAACGGCCCACCAAGGCGACGAUUGGUAGCCGGACUGAGAGGUUGAACGGCCACAUUGGGACUGAGACACGGCCCAGACUCCUACGGGAGGCAGCAGUGGGGGAUAUUGCACAAUGGGGGAAACCCUGAUGCAGCGACGCCGCGUGGAGGAAGAAGGUUUUCGGAUUGUAAACUCCUGUCGUACGGGACGAUAAUGACGGUACCGUACAAGAAAGCCACGGCUAACUA
Molecule: ribosomal RNA, 464 nt
Filed under: uncultured bacterium
Lineage: Bacteria
Description: bacterial SSU rRNA
Rfam family: Bacterial small subunit ribosomal RNA
Source: RNAcentral